Molecule: ribosomal RNA, 398 nt
Filed under: uncultured bacterium
Lineage: Bacteria
Description: bacterial SSU rRNA
Rfam family: Bacterial small subunit ribosomal RNA
Source: RNAcentral
GACGAACGCUGGCGGCGUGCUUAACACAUGCAAGUCGAGCGGUAAGGCCCUUUCGGGGGUACACGAGCGGCGAACGGGUGAGUAACACGUGGGUGACCUGCCCUUAGCUCUGGGAUAAGCCUGGGAAACUGGGUCUAAUACCGGAUAUGACUCCAUGACGCAUGUUGUGGGGUGGAAAGCCUUGUGCGGCUAGGGAUGGGCCCGCGGCCUAUCAGCUUGUUGGUGGGGUGAUGGCCUACCAAGGCGACGACGGGUAGCCGGCCUGAGAGGGCGACCGGCCACACUGGGACUGAGACACGGCCCAGACUCCUACGGGAGGCAGCAGUGGGGAAUCUUGCGCAAUGGGCGAAAGCCUGACGCAGCGACGCCGCGUGAGGGAUGACGGCCUCGGUUGUAAC